RNAcentral lists this ribosomal RNA (223 nucleotides) under uncultured bacterium. Its description in RNAcentral is "partial 16S ribosomal RNA". It matches the Rfam family "Bacterial small subunit ribosomal RNA", at positions 15 to 219 of the family's 1533-position model. The record is from RNAcentral.
GAUCAUGGCUCAGGAUGAACGCUGGCGGCGUGCUUAACACAUGCAAGUCGAACGAAGCGCUUAAAUGGAUUUCUUCGGAUUGAAGUUUUUGUGACUGAGUGGCGGACGGGUGAGUAACGCGUGGGUAACCGUGCCUCGUACAGGGGGAUAACAGUUAGAAAUGACUGCUAAUACCGCAUAAGCGCACAGUGCUGCAUGGCACAGUGUGAAAAACUCCGGUGGU